This 426-nucleotide unclassified non-coding RNA is filed under the name Hevea brasiliensis (rubber tree). Lineage: Eukaryota; Viridiplantae; Streptophyta; Magnoliopsida; Malpighiales; Euphorbiaceae. The record is from RNAcentral.
AAACAUGCAGAAAUCACUAUCUUUGAUCUAACCACAAUAACUAAUGCCACUGAUCAGUUCUCUGAUGCUAACAAACUUGGUGAAGGAGGAUUUGGUAGCGUAUACAAGGGUCACCUGACAGAUGGACAAGUAAUAGCUGUCAAAAGACUUUCAGUAACUUCGGGGCAAGGGACGGAGGAGUUCAAGAAUGAAGUCACAGUAAUUGCAAGACUUCAGCACAGAAAUUUGGUGAGGCUUUUAGGAUGUUGCGUUCAACGAGGAGAGAAGAUGUUGGUUUAUGAAUAUAUGCCAAACAAAUCCUUGGACAGUUUUAUUUUUGAUAAAACAAAAGGGUCUUUGUUGGAUUGGGGAAAACGGUUUGGAAUCAUACAUGGGAUUGCACGAGGAAUGUUAUACCUUCACCAAGACUCUAGACUAAGAAUUAUU